This 415-nucleotide ribosomal RNA is filed under the name uncultured eukaryote. RNAcentral describes it as "bacterial SSU rRNA". It matches the Rfam family "Eukaryotic small subunit ribosomal RNA", at positions 592 to 1017 of the family's 1831-position model. The record is from RNAcentral.
CAAUAGCGUAUAUUAAAGUUGUUGCAGUUAAAAAGCUCGUAGUUGGAUUUCUGGGAGGGUGCUAAUGUCCGCCGUAGCGCGUGUGCAGCCGCGCCCUUCCAUCCUUCUGUUAACGCCUCUUGGCAUUUGUUUGCUGGUGGCGGGCUCAGAUAUUUUUACCUUGAGAAAAUUAGAGUGUUUCAGGCAGGCUAGGCCGGAAUAUAUUAGCAUGGAAUAAUGGAAUAGGACUAUGGUCUCUUUGUUGGUUUGAGGGACUGCAGUAAUGAUUAAUAGGGAUAGUUGGGGGCAUUAGUAUUUAACUGUCAGAAGUGAAAUUCUUGGAUUUGUUAAAGACGGACUACUGCGAAAGCAUUUGCCAAGGAUGUUUUCAUUGAUCAAGAACGAAAGUUAGGGGAUCGAAGAUGAUUAGAUACCA